RNA transcript from Ziziphus jujuba (common jujube), 1592 nucleotides. It is a transcript of the gene named NAD-dependent protein deacylase SRT2, with no coding region annotated. The transcript is spliced from 11 exons. The record is from RefSeq and is a predicted model, not a curated record. Lineage: Eukaryota; Viridiplantae; Streptophyta; Magnoliopsida; Rosales; Rhamnaceae.
AAAAAAAAAAAAAAAAAAAAAAGAACAAAUGGUUGAGAAGUGAUCAACGUCUCUCAAGGGUGGGACGAAAACACCAACCGCCAAACGUCGAUAUUACAGAACAAAAAGAGCCGACGCGCGUCGAAGAAAUGUUCAGACCAGAGAGAUGGCAAUGUUCAUGCGCUUGCCUUCCCGCCAACCCUUCGUCUUGACUUCCAGAAAUGGAGGGGGAUUUCUGGGGAGUAUCAUGAAAGAUUUUAUCAUCCACUCAGGUGGAUUGAAUUGGCAAUUAUGGAGCUGCAGGAAAAGGGUCAUUUCUUUUCCUGGUUGUGUGAAAUCUAUGCAGACAUCUUGUCGAAUUUCGUUCCCGACUAACUCAUCAGGAAAGGAAGGGAAGGUUGCUUCUAACUUUUUGAGGGACAAGAAGUUGGUCCCUGAUGCAAAAGCUCCUAGCUUGCAAGAUGUUAACCUUUUGUAUCAAUUUUUCGAUCAAAGUACCAAGCUCGUGGUAUUGACUGGGGCUGGAAUGAGCACAGAAUGUGGAAUUCCUGAUUAUAGAAGCCCAAAUGGAGCUUAUAGUUCUGGCUUCAAACCGAUUACCCAUCAGGAGUUUCUCCGUUCAAGUCGAGCUCGUAGGCGGUAUUGGGCAAGAAGUUAUGCUGGCUGGAGACGAUUCACUGCAGCAAAGCCUAGUGCUGCUCACACUGCUUUAGCAUCUCUUGAAAAGGCUGGUCGGAUUAAGUUUAUGAUUACACAGAACGUUGAUAGGCUUCAUCAUCGUGCUGGUAGCAAUCCACUUGAAUUACAUGGGACUGUUUACUCUGUGGUUUGUUUGGAUUGUGGUUUUUCUGUAUGCCGGAAUCUGUUUCAGGACCAAGUGAAGGCUCUUAAUCCAAAGUGGGCAGCAGCAAUUGAAAGUUUGGACUACGGCAAUCCUGGAUCAGACAAGAGCUUUGGCAUGAAACAAAGGCCUGAUGGUGACAUUGAGAUUGAUUGGGAAGAGGAUUUUCACAUACCUACUUGUCAAAAGUGCAAUGGAGUACUUAAACCAGACGUUGUCUUCUUUGGCGAUAAUGUCCCCAAGGAUAGAGCUGAUAAAUCAGUUGCAGCUGCCAAGGAGUGUGAUGCUUUUCUUGUGCUAGGAUCAUCUGUAAUGACCAUGUCUGCAUAUCGGCUUGUCAGGCUUUUGAUCUCGGUCUUACAGGGCUGCGCAUGAAGCGGGUGCUGCAACUGCAAUUGUGAAUGUUGGUGUGACACGAGCAGAUGAUUUUGUGCCUCUGAAAAUCAAUGCUCGAUUAGGAGAGAUCCUACCAAGAGUGCUUCACUCUGGAUCCCUCAGCAUACCUGCUGUCCACUGAAAUAUAUACAACUCUCAGGUUGACCUAACCUGGAACUAAUGUCAAUUAUUUCAUUGACAAGUAAUUUUUUUAUUUUUUAUUUUUCAAUGAAAACCAAUGAUUUUAUUUCCUUUCUGUUAUAAAUUCUUAGAUUUUUUUUUAAUUUUGUUUAUUUUUUAUUGCUUAUCAAUUAUUAAACAUUAGAUUGCUUCAAGUGUAAUUCAAGGGAGAACAUUUUUGGAUAUUACAACUCGUGAGGAAAAAUUAUUGUCUUUU